Molecule: non-coding RNA, 24 nt
Filed under: Drosophila melanogaster (fruit fly)
Lineage: Eukaryota; Metazoa; Arthropoda; Insecta; Diptera; Drosophilidae
Also listed under: 1 other name
Source: RNAcentral
GGGGGGAGUAUGGUCGCAAGGCUG